This 266-nucleotide signal recognition particle RNA is filed under the name Actinomycetota bacterium. Its description in RNAcentral is "signal recognition particle sRNA large type". It matches the Rfam family "Bacterial large signal recognition particle RNA". Rfam says of the family: The signal recognition particle (SRP) is a universally conserved ribonucleoprotein involved in the co-translational targeting of proteins to membranes. Archaeal SRP consists of a 7S RNA and homologues of the eukaryotic SRP19 and SRP54 proteins. In most bacteria, the SRP consists of a 4.5S RNA and the Ffh protein (a homologue of the eukaryotic SRP54 protein). The record is from RNAcentral. Lineage: Bacteria; Bacillati; Actinomycetota.
CCGUGCUAGGUGGGGAGCUAGCGGUGCCCUGUACCCGCAACCCGCUCUAGCGGGGCCGAUGCCCGCCCGCGGCUCGGAUGGUCUGGGAACGCCCCGGGUUCGGCAGUGAUGAAGGCCGGGUCCCGCGCGACACCAACCUGCGAACCCCGUCAGGUCCGGAAGGAAGCAGCGGUAAGCGGGCACUGGUGGGUGCCGCGGGAGCACCUGACCGGAGCUGCCGGCUCGGUGGUCGCCGGGCCGUCUCGUGGUCAACGGCGGGUGCACGG